This 462-nucleotide ribosomal RNA is filed under the name uncultured bacterium. Its description in RNAcentral is "bacterial SSU rRNA". It matches the Rfam family "Bacterial small subunit ribosomal RNA", at positions 28 to 507 of the family's 1533-position model. The record is from RNAcentral.
GACGAACGCUGGCGGCGUGCUUAACACAUGCAAGUCGAGCGAUGAGAUCACUUCGGUGAAGGAUUAGCGGCGAACGGGUGAGGAACACGUGAAGAAUCUGCCUUCAACUCUGGGAUAACUCCGGGAAACCGGGGCUAAUACCGGAUAUGAGCCUUGAUCGCAUGAUCGGGGCUGGAAAGUUUUUCGGUUGAAGAUGACUUCGCGGCCUAUCAGCUUGUUGGUGAGGUAAUGGCUCACCAAGGCGACGACGGGUAGCCGGCCUGAGAGGGCGACCGGCCACACUGGGACUGAGACACGGCCCAGACUCCUACGGGAGGCAGCAGUGGGGAAUAUUGGGCAAUGGACGAAAGUCUGACCCAGCGACGCCGCGUGCGGGAUGAAGGCCUUCGGUUGUAAACCGCUUUCAGCAGGGAAUAAGCGCAAGUGAAGGUACCUGCAGAAGAAGCACCGGCUAACUAUGUG